GGCGAACGGGUGAGUAAUAUAUCGGAACGUACCCAAGAGUGGGGGAUAACGUAGCGAAAGUUACGCUAAUAGGCGCAUACGAUCCAUGGAUGAAAGUGGGGGACCGCAAGGCCUCAUGCUCCUGGAGCGGCCGAUAUCUGAUUAGCUAGUUGGUGAGGUAAAGGCUCACCAAGGGCGACGAUCAGUAGCUGGUCUGAGAGGACGACCAGCCACACUGGGACUGAGACACGGGCCAGACUCCUACGGGAGGCAGCAGUGGGGAAUUUUGGACAAUGGGCGCAAGCCUGAUCCAGCAAUGCCGCGUGAGUGAAGAAGGCCUUCGGGUUGUAAAGCUCUUUUGUCAGGGAAGAAACGGCCGGGGCUAAUAUCCCGGUAAUGACGGUACCUGAAGAAUAAGCACCGGUUAACUACGUGCCAGCCGCCG
Molecule: ribosomal RNA, 424 nt
Filed under: uncultured bacterium
Lineage: Bacteria
Description: bacterial SSU rRNA
Rfam family: Bacterial small subunit ribosomal RNA
Source: RNAcentral